UGUGGUGUAGUUCAGUGGUAGAGUGCUUGCCUAGCACAUGUGAGGCACUGGGUUUGAUCCUCAGCACCACAU
Molecule: transfer RNA, 72 nt
Filed under: Marmota marmota marmota (Alpine marmot)
Lineage: Eukaryota; Metazoa; Chordata; Mammalia; Rodentia; Sciuridae
Also listed under: 1 other name
Rfam family: tRNA
About the family: Transfer RNA (tRNA) molecules are approximately 80 nucleotides in length. Their secondary structure includes four short double-helical elements and three loops (D, anti-codon, and T loops). Further hydrogen bonds mediate the characteristic L-shaped molecular structure. tRNAs have two regions of fundamental functional importance: the anti-codon, which is responsible for specific mRNA codon recognition, and the 3' end, to which the tRNAs corresponding amino acid is attached (by aminoacyl-tRNA synthetases). tRNAs cope with the degeneracy of the genetic code in two manners: having more than one tRNA (with a specific anti-codon) for a particular amino acid; and 'wobble' base-pairing, i.e. permitting non-standard base-pairing at the 3rd anti-codon position.
Source: Rfam by way of RNAcentral